UGUGAAGAAUAAAGAUGAUGAUGAUGAUGAUGAUGAUAAUGAUGAUGGUUACGCUUGUAAUGAUGAUGGUGACGACGACAAAUUACUUGUCUUAGCUCACGUUUGGCCAGUGAACACUGAUCUACGAUGAGUACCCUUGUUUCGAGCGAAAAAAGGAUCAAGAAACAUCCAGAAGUAAUAAGGAAAGGCAAGAUCAUUGUGAAGAAUGAUAGUGAUGAUGAUGAAAAUGAUGAUGUCGGCGACAGUUGUCUUGUCUUUGCUCAUUUUUGACCAGUGAACACAGACCCACGAAGUUGACAUUGUUUCAAGAGCAGACGUCUAAAAGGUCAAAGACAAGAUCGCUGUAUGGUGGAUGAUAAUGGCCAAAAUAUUGCUGACCUCCAGUGGGUAUUGUCGAAGCCAGCCGUCACUUCGGGAAACGCAGCUCUGCAAUGGUUACUUCUACUGGUACAGCUGACAGACAAUAGAACAGCAGUUUCUUAAGCCAUGUUGAAAGACAUGAUCAUUGAGAGUAAUGAUGAUGAUAAUGGUGAUGAUGGUGAUGAUGAUAGCGAUUAUGAUGGUGAAGGUAGCGAUGAUUAUGAAAAUGAUGAUGGCCCGUUGCUUGUCCUGGCUCACGUUUACCCAUUUAACACAGAUCUACGAUGUCAACGUCUAAAAGGUAAACUUUGUUUAUUCAUAAAAGAGCAAAAAUUAGUGACAUCUUCAAAAAUGCAAUUAUAUUUUCCAUCGUGACUCACCUGAAUGCUUAAAUGGAGAUAAUUGUGAUCGCUUUCAGUCCGCUUUCUUUCCUUUAUAAGGUUUGUCCGGAGGAUAUACCAAAGUGGCAAAAUUUCACUCUUUUAGGACAUUAGAUGCCGCACACGUGUAGCAAUCAUAAACAUACCUUAAAACAUAUAUACGCCAAUCCCAAGUACUUAGAUAUGUUAGAUAUUUACAGAAUUACACAGAAAAUAGAGUUAUGGCAUGCG
Molecule: long non-coding RNA, 971 nt
Organism: Mercenaria mercenaria
Lineage: Eukaryota; Metazoa; Mollusca; Bivalvia; Venerida; Veneridae
Exons: 4
Source: RefSeq, a predicted model, not a curated record